Molecule: ribosomal RNA, 431 nt
Filed under: uncultured bacterium
Lineage: Bacteria
Description: partial 16S ribosomal RNA
Rfam family: Bacterial small subunit ribosomal RNA
Source: RNAcentral
CCUACGGGAGGCAGCAGUGAGGAAUAUUGGACAAUGGGGGCAACCCUGAUCCAGCCAUGCCGCGUGAGUGACGAAGGCCUUAGGGUUGUAAAGCUCUUUCGGCUGUGAAGCAGUAGCAGCAGAAGAAGCCCCGGCUAAAUUCGUGCCAGCAGCCGCGGUAAUACGAAUGGGGCGAGCGUUGUUCGGAAUCACUGGGCGUAAAGCGUACGUAGGCGGACUGGAAAGUCAGAAGUGAAAUCCCGGGGCUUAACCCCGGAAUUGCUUUUGAAACUUCCAGUCUAGAGGCCCGGAGAGGUCAGCGGAAUUCCGAGUGUAGAGGUGAAAUUCGCAGAUAUUCGGAGGAACACCAGUUGCGUAGGCGGCUGGCUGAGGGCACUGACGCUGAGGUACGAAAGCGUGGGGAUCAAACAGGAUUAGAUACCCUUGUAGUC